GAUCCACAUAUACUUUUUAAUGCCUGUGUUUGCACUUUUUUGUUUCCUGUUAGAAAUCAUGGAAUUUGAAUGAUGGGUUAGUUUCUUUUAGCGAAAAGAUUUGAUCUUUAUGGAAAAAAAAUUAUGUGUUUCGUUAAUAUUAAUGAUUAUCAUGUGGAUUGUAUCUGUUCUUUCCAUUUCUAUGUAAGGAUAGCUUUAAAAUGUGUGAGAAAGAUGGUGUUCAUCACAGAUAAGCUGCCAGGGUAUAGUACUAUGAUAAAGGAUUAUGUUAUUUUUGGUUGGUUGGUGCAUCUCUACGGUGGUAUUGAUUCGAUCGAAGGAAAUAUGUUAUUCAUUAGGAGUGACAUAGAUGUGGUUUCAUUUGGUAAUGUCUGCCCACGAAGAAUAAUAUGAUUCGAUAACUAAGCAAAUAUUGUAGAAUUAUCAAUUGGAGUAUUAGAGGAAUAUGAACGAAAAUAUUUGCAGAAAGUUGUCAUCUUUAACAUCAUGGACAAAACACAUACAUUUGACUCUCUGGGAUGAAGCAACUUGUUAUUUCUAUUUG
Molecule: long non-coding RNA, 544 nt
Organism: Ipomoea nil (Japanese morning glory)
Lineage: Eukaryota; Viridiplantae; Streptophyta; Magnoliopsida; Solanales; Convolvulaceae
Exons: 2
Source: RefSeq, a predicted model, not a curated record